Molecule: ribosomal RNA, 500 nt
Filed under: uncultured bacterium
Lineage: Bacteria
Description: partial 16S ribosomal RNA
Rfam family: Bacterial small subunit ribosomal RNA
Source: RNAcentral
AUUGAACGCUGGCGGCAUGCCUUACACAUGCAAGUCGAACGGCAGCACGGGUGCUUGCACCUGGUGGCGAGUGGCGAACGGGUGAGUAAUAUAUCGGAACGUACCUUAUUGUGGGGGAUAACGCAGCGAAAGCUGUGCUAAUACCGCAUAAUCCCUAAGGGGGAAAGCGGGGACCGUAAGGCCUCGCGCAAUUAGAGCGGCCGAUACCUGAUUAGCUAGUUGGUGAGGUAAAGGCUCACCAAGGCAACGAUCAGUAGCUGGUCUGAGAGGACGAUCAGCCACACUGGGACUGAGACACGGCCCAGACUCCUACGGGAGGCAGCAGUGGGGAAUUUUGGACAAUGGGGGCAACCCUGAUCCAGCAAUGCCGCGUGAGUGAAGAAGGCCUUCGGGUUGUAAAGCUCUUUUGUCAGGGAAGAAACAGCAGCUCUAACACAGCUUGCGAAUGACGGUACCUGAAGAAUAAGCACCGGCUAACUACGUGCCAGCCGCCGCGGUAA